GUUUAUUUGAACAUGAUCUGAUAAAUAAUAACAAUGGUAACUUUUUGUAUAGUUCAGUAUUACAAUAAGAGAGUAACCCUUUAAACUUGAUAAUGCUCGGGUGAGCUGUGUAGUACAUAGGUAUGCACUUGUUUUUUAAAAAUACAAUAUUUUCAUUUUUACACAUAAAUAAACACGUAACAGAAAGCUUUCAACUUUAGCGGUUUCAUUUGUAUGACGUCAUGUUUUGAAAUGACUUAAAUGCGCCAAAAAGAUUAAUAGACUUUCGCGGAAUUUUAUUUGAUUUUUAUUUUGUCGAUUUCUCCGAGCUCUUGUGCAUCGCUUCUUUUUAAUAUGCAUACGAAUAAGAAUAAAGUUUUUUUGUCUUUUUUUAAUUACACUUUUUAAAACAAUAAAAUCGACAAAGGGUCUGCAAAUAGGUUCCAAUACAUGUAGAUUUACGU
RNAcentral lists this long non-coding RNA (443 nucleotides) under Mytilus galloprovincialis (Mediterranean mussel). Lineage: Eukaryota; Metazoa; Mollusca; Bivalvia; Mytilida; Mytilidae. The record is from RNAcentral.